GCGCUGGUGGUUCAGUGGUAGAAUUCUCGCCUGCCACGUGGGAGACCGGGGUUCGAUUCCCCGCUAGCGCA
Molecule: transfer RNA, 71 nt
Filed under: Dendronephthya gigantea
Lineage: Eukaryota; Metazoa; Cnidaria; Anthozoa; Malacalcyonacea; Nephtheidae
Description: tRNA-Gly
Rfam family: tRNA
About the family: Transfer RNA (tRNA) molecules are approximately 80 nucleotides in length. Their secondary structure includes four short double-helical elements and three loops (D, anti-codon, and T loops). Further hydrogen bonds mediate the characteristic L-shaped molecular structure. tRNAs have two regions of fundamental functional importance: the anti-codon, which is responsible for specific mRNA codon recognition, and the 3' end, to which the tRNAs corresponding amino acid is attached (by aminoacyl-tRNA synthetases). tRNAs cope with the degeneracy of the genetic code in two manners: having more than one tRNA (with a specific anti-codon) for a particular amino acid; and 'wobble' base-pairing, i.e. permitting non-standard base-pairing at the 3rd anti-codon position.
Source: RNAcentral